AUCGUCUAUAAUCCGGAAAAUGAUCCGGAGUUGGUUUUCAUGUUAGAUCUAGAUCGUGUGACGCAGACAACGUUUGAACGCUGCAGGACAGAUAUUUUAAAGAUAAACGAGAACCUUUAUGUAUAACAGCUUGAUAUAAAGGAAAAAAUGACGUCUGCCAUUCAGAAGAUGGUUUUCUACUUGCCCAGGAAAUUGACUACAACUUGUAAACUGUCAGUGUAAAUCCAAAUGCACAUACAACACAAAUAUCAACAACUGCAAGUGACAACAGGCUAUACAAAAAGCAGUGCCAAUAACGAUUAUGGG
RNAcentral lists this long non-coding RNA (306 nucleotides) under Mytilus galloprovincialis (Mediterranean mussel). The record is from RNAcentral. Lineage: Eukaryota; Metazoa; Mollusca; Bivalvia; Mytilida; Mytilidae.